AUAAAUUUAAAUGAAUGCGCAGAAUUUCAAAAGAUGCAUUGACAGGAAUCGCUUUUGAAACAGAAGUCCAUCCAUUCACUUUUCUAUGGCUCGUUGCGUGGUCGGUUUCUGUGUCCGAAUCCUUGAAUUACAACUCGAAGUGCGUGAGUGUGUGGAUUCCAUCAUUCCCUUUCUGAUAGCGGAGCGUGACAUACUCCUCCAAAGUAGUCUCCUUGUAGAUUGGGAGAUUUUCCUCCGAUACCAAGUCUUUCAUCGGCCCAUACAACCUUGAUUCAAUUCCUUUCUGGACAUGUGUUCUGAAAAAAGCAACCCAAACAAACUCUAGGUCCUACUUUGUUCGCUAGUACCCGAUGAAAGACACUCUUGAACUUGUCAUUGGCGAUAAGCUGCAAAUGUAUAAGAAUCAGAUCAUCAGUUACUACUUGUGGUGGGUGUACAACAAAUUUCACAAAAUUCGCCAUGGACAAGUUGAUGCCAACAAUUUUAACUUGAAGGAUUUGCAUCUAAAAUUUUUGUGAUAUCGUGUUAAAAAUGAGUAUUUUCUUAUCUUUGCAUCUGACAUUCUAGUUUGAGACUAGACAACUAAUGCGUUCAACUUAUUUCCAAGUGUUCUUUGGUUGGCUCGUAACCCUCAUGCCAAAGAUGUCCUUGGGAGUUGUGAUGACAAAUCAAGAAAUCGAGAAAACAGAAACAAGUUCAGGGAAAAAAAAAAACAAGAACAUAAGUUGUUCCACUUUAAAGUCGCGAAGAUAUAUUGGUAGGGGCACAUUUGAAAAGAGAACAUAAGAGUCAACAAUAUCCAUAAAUAUUUUGCAUACAAACCCCUAGAAUACGAUCAAGGGCUUAACAAAAAACCGCAAUCCUAGGCAUCAAGUCAGAUAAAAUGUAGGGUGUUAAUCAGUCAGACUAUUGGUACCGGGUUAUGAGAACCAAGUAGAUGGAAUUUGAGAUAUUGUUGAAAACAUAGUUUCUACAAACAUCAACUGUUUCUUCCUCUUUUUUUUCCGGGGUAAGUAAAUGUAUCCAAACAGAUCAAAACAAAAUCGGUGUCACGGUGAGGGAGCCAAUGAAAGAUAACAAAGUGAUAGAGAUUUGCCUGUAGAUGAUCAGCAAUGUUUACUAUCAGUGCUCCAGCCAAGGGGGGGACGUCGAUCCUUUCAUUUUUGUGAAGAACUUGUAGACCACCAAUUUGAUCUUUUAACUGCUUUGGGAUCUUCACAACUUGAAAUAAGUGAGAGCAGAUUUUCCGUC
Long non-coding RNA from Rhododendron vialii, 1251 nucleotides. RefSeq lists it as uncharacterized. Lineage: Eukaryota; Viridiplantae; Streptophyta; Magnoliopsida; Ericales; Ericaceae. The record is from RefSeq and is a predicted model, not a curated record. The transcript is spliced from 2 exons.